GAUGAAGAACGUAGCGAAAUGCGAUAAUUAAUGUGAAUUGCAGAAUUCCGUGAAUCAUCGAGUCUUUGAACGCACAUUGCGCCCUGUGGUAUUCCGCAGGGCAUGCCUGUUCGAGCGUCAUUUCAACCCUCAAGCUCUGCUUGGUGUUGGGCCCUGCCCGCUGCGGCCGGCCCUAAAGACAGUGGCGGUGCCGCCUGGCCCUGAGCGUAGUACAUCUCUCGCUCCAGUGCCCGGUGGUAGCCUGCCAGAACCCCAACUCUCGUGGUUGACCUCGGAUCAGGUAGGGAUACCCGCUGAACUUAAGCAUAUCAAUAAGCGGAGGA
This 323-nucleotide unclassified non-coding RNA is filed under the name soil metagenome. Its description in RNAcentral is "partial contains 5.8S ribosomal RNA, internal transcribed spacer 2, and large subunit ribosomal RNA". The stretch from base 1 to 120 matches the Rfam family "5.8S ribosomal RNA", at positions 35 to 154 of the family's 154-position model. The record is from RNAcentral.